Bos taurus (domestic cattle) is the source of this 1193-nucleotide long non-coding RNA. The record is from Ensembl. Lineage: Eukaryota; Metazoa; Chordata; Mammalia; Artiodactyla; Bovidae.
AGAAGAGAAAAAGCUGAACCCAAGCAGGCCCCUGUGGGGCUCCUGGGCACAAAAGCCUUUCCUUAUCCCUCGUUUCUUGCUUGUAGGAAACAGGCUUCAUUCAGCCUCCAUGACCUUUCCUGAGUUCCAAAGGAAGGACAGGUUCAAACAGUUGCUAAUCACAGAGGGAGAGGAUGAAGAGACAAGGGAGGAGCAGUGAAGAAACCCCAGCAUGGGGCAUGGUCCCGGUUCCUCCUCGAGGGACAUACAUUAACAGUAUCUUUGAGCUGUUCUGCAGACACUGAAGCCCCCACCAGGUGGAAGAAGUUAACUGUACGCUGUCCACAAGCAUGGAGACCACAGACCGGCUGGAACCAGAAGGUUGAUGAUGCUGACUUCCAAUUACUUCACCACCAACCAAUCAGAAGAAUGUCCAUGAGCUGAUCACGCCCUCCUCUCUGAACCACUGCUAUAAACCUCACUACCACCCUCCAGGGGGCAUGCACAGUUUUGAGGGCAUUAGCCUGCUGUGGCCCUUUUUCCUGGGGAAACAAUCAAGCUAUUCUUUUCUACUUCAUCCCAGACUUUGUCUCUGAGAUUCUAUUUAGUACCAGGGUACAGAGGCCGAAUUUCAGCUACAAAUCUACUCAAUUCUAAGAACGAAGGAAUGAGCGUGUGUUGUUCAGACUGCCUCCUUCUCCCCACAAUGCCAUCAGAACUCCAGGGCAUCAGCCUAUCUGUGCCCUUUUCUGCCAUGAAGCAGAUGUGUACAUUCUUCAGGAGCCUCUCCUCUUGCCAGGGUCCACCCCAGGGUUGUGCCAGCAGCAUCUGCUUCUUAAGGACCUGUCUGUUCCCCAUCCCUGGGCCCAUGUGAGGUGAGCUCCAGGUGCUACUGUCGGGGAAGCCACUAAGGAAGGAGGUGCAUUCCCCCAGGUGCUAUGUGGCCAGGGGGAUUUCACAACACCUCAGAGAAAGAAGCCACUGGAACCUAAGAGUCAAGCCUGUGAAGUCCCUGGAGUGAUGCCAGAGGUCGCCUCUGAUCCCUGGGAAGAACUCAGGACUCUGCCUGGGAAUUUACACAACCAUCAGGGCUUCUCAGGUGGCACAAUGAUGGAGGCACAAGGAAAUCAAGCAGCUCCCUGGAUGGAGGCCAUGCAGCUGCCAAGUGUCAGAACCAGGUUUUGAACCCAGGUUGUCCAAGUCGAGUGCCCCUC